ACUCCUACGGGAGGCGGCAGUGGGGAAUUUUGCGCAAUGGGGGAAACCCUGACGCAGCAACGCCGCGUGAGUGAUGAAGGCUUUCGGGUCGUAAAGCUCUGUCAAUGGGAAAGAAGUGUAUUGGGGUUAAUACCCCUGAUGCUUGACGGUACCCAUAAAGGAAGCACCGGCUAACUCCGUGCCAGCAGCCGCGGUAAUACGGGGGGUGCAAGCGUUGUUCGGAAUUAUUGGGCGUAAAGCGCGUGUAGGCGGUUUGAUUAGUCUGAUGUGAAAGCCCCGGGCUCAACCCGGGAAGUGCAUUGGAUACUGUCAGACUUGAAUACGGGAGAGGGUAGUGGAAUUCCUAGUGUAGGAGUGAAAUCCGUAGAUAUUAGGAGGAACACCGGUGGCGAAGGCGGCUGCCUGGACCGAUAUUGACGCUGAGACGCGAAAGCGUGGGUAGCAAACAGGAUUAGAUACCCUGGUAGUCCACGCCGUAAACGAUGAGAACUAGGUGUUGCGGGUA
RNAcentral lists this ribosomal RNA (505 nucleotides) under uncultured Geobacter sp. Its description in RNAcentral is "bacterial SSU rRNA". It matches the Rfam family "Bacterial small subunit ribosomal RNA", at positions 335 to 831 of the family's 1533-position model. Lineage: Bacteria; Pseudomonadati; Thermodesulfobacteriota; Desulfuromonadia; Geobacterales; Geobacteraceae. The record is from RNAcentral.